Molecule: non-coding RNA, 88 nt
Filed under: unclassified sequences
Source: RNAcentral
GAGAAUCUGCCACCGGGUAGGAGAUGCAUAGGCAUCCGUUACACAUCGUUAGGUCUUAGAAGAUGUGUAGACGGAUGCUUUUUUAGCG